This 64-nucleotide non-coding RNA is filed under the name Kaistia sp. RNAcentral describes it as "Fluoride sequence". It matches the Rfam family "Fluoride riboswitch aptamer (crcB RNA motif)". Lineage: Bacteria; Pseudomonadati; Pseudomonadota; Alphaproteobacteria; Hyphomicrobiales; Kaistiaceae. The record is from RNAcentral.
CAGCGGGAUGGUGAUGGGCUCCACCUUCAACCGCCUGUUCUGGGCUGAUGAUCCCUACGCAACA